RNAcentral lists this transfer RNA (71 nucleotides) under Candidatus Thiodiazotropha sp. (ex Lucinoma borealis). Its description in RNAcentral is "tRNA-Ser". It matches the Rfam family "tRNA", at positions 9 to 71 of the family's 71-position model. From Rfam's summary of the family: Transfer RNA (tRNA) molecules are approximately 80 nucleotides in length. Their secondary structure includes four short double-helical elements and three loops (D, anti-codon, and T loops). Further hydrogen bonds mediate the characteristic L-shaped molecular structure. tRNAs have two regions of fundamental functional importance: the anti-codon, which is responsible for specific mRNA codon recognition, and the 3' end, to which the tRNAs corresponding amino acid is attached (by aminoacyl-tRNA synthetases). tRNAs cope with the degeneracy of the genetic code in two manners: having more than one tRNA (with a specific anti-codon) for a particular amino acid; and 'wobble' base-pairing, i.e. permitting non-standard base-pairing at the 3rd anti-codon position. The record is from RNAcentral. Lineage: Bacteria; Pseudomonadati; Pseudomonadota; Gammaproteobacteria; Chromatiales; Sedimenticolaceae.
GGGUUAAUAAGUGGCAAAGCAUCCGGCUCUUAACCGGAAGGAUAUUGGUUCGAUGCCAAUACAAUCCACCA